GACGAACGCUGGCGGCGUGCUUAACACAUGCAAGUCGAACGAAAAUACCAAGCUUGCUUGGUUGAUUAGUGGCGAACGGGUGAGUAACACGUGAGUAACCUGCCCCUUACUUUCCUGGAUAACUGCUCGAAAGGGUAGCUAAUACGGGAUAUUCUGACCAGCCUGCAUGGGUUGGUUUGGAAAGUUUGUUUUUCGGGUAAGGGAUGGGCUCGGGGCCUAUCAGCUUGUUGGUGGGGUGAUGGCCUACCAAGGCUUUGACGGGUAGCCGGCCUGAGAGGGUGGACGGGUACACUGGGAAUGAGAUGCGGCCCAGACUCCUACGGGAGGCAGCAGUGGGGAAUAUUGCACAAUGGGCGCAAGCCUGAUGCAGCGACGCCGCGUGAGGGAUGAAGGCCUUCGGGUUGUAAACCUCUUUCGUCAGGGAACAAGGCACUGCUUGUUUGGUGGUGUUGAGGGUACCUGGAUAAGAAGCGCCGGCUAACUACGUG
Molecule: ribosomal RNA, 488 nt
Filed under: uncultured bacterium
Lineage: Bacteria
Description: partial 16S ribosomal RNA
Rfam family: Bacterial small subunit ribosomal RNA
Source: RNAcentral